Sinocyclocheilus anshuiensis is the source of this 2952-nucleotide long non-coding RNA. Lineage: Eukaryota; Metazoa; Chordata; Actinopteri; Cypriniformes; Cyprinidae. The record is from Ensembl.
GUAACAUGUGCAUACUGUUAAAGUCAUCAAUGUGAUGUAAUUAUGUGUUUCCAAUCUGAACAAACUCGUGUCUCGCACAUAAACUGGUAAAUGUGUUUUUAUCUGUAAAAUGAGCUUAGUUCUGUCAUAAACCUGAAAUGAAAAAUGACUUCAUGAAACAGUUGCAGAAAUACUAGGCAAAACACAGGACCCUGCCUAUGCUGCCUACAUUGCUGUGAGAUCCACAGACAGUACUAAACAGGAAAUAAAAGAGGUUGAGGAGGAACGCGGUGAGGUAGAAGCUGCUGAAGAUACAACUGAAAAAGCUCAAGAUAUUGUGGACGUUACAACGGAGGAAGGGAGGGUUGAAACGGCUUGGGACAGCUCUGAUGUCACAGUUGAAGACGAUGAGGCUGCCUCCGAUGUCAUGGAGGAGGAUAAAACUGCUGGAACAGUUGAAGAUAUUGCAGAUGUUACAGAGGAGGAACCUUCUGUUAUGCAAGAAGACAUAGAUGGGGAAAUAGAACCUGAAAAGUUUGAGGAUAUCUCUGAUUUUGCAGAGGACGAAUCAACUGAUAUGACCUCUGAUGCUACAUAUGUGAAGGACAUGGAUGAUACCUCAGAUGUUGUAACAGCAGAUGAUGAAGUUACUGAAACAGUUGGAGAUAUUUUGGAUGUUACAGAGGAGGAACUUUCUGAUAUGGCAGAAGUCAUAGGUGAGGCAAAAGCAACUGAAAAGUUUGAAGAUAUCUCAGAUUUUGCAGAGGAUAAAUCAACUGAAACGACAUCUGAUGCUACAGAUAAGAAAAAUGUUGACGAUACCUCAGAUGUCGUUACAGAAGAAGAAGAAGUUACUGAAACAGUUGAAGAUGUAGAUGUUACAGUGGAGGAAACCUCUGAUAUACCAGAAGUCACAGAUGAGGAAACAGUGACUGAAAAGGUUGAAGAUAUAUCAGAUUUUGCAGAGGACAAAUCAACUGAAAUUACUGAAUCUGAUGCUACAGAUAUGAAAAACAUUGACGAUACCUCAGAUGUUGUUACAGAGGAAGAAGAAGUUACUGAAACAGUUGAAGAUGUAGAUGUUACAGUGGAGGAAACAUCUGAUAUUCCAGAAGUAUUAGAUGAGGAAAUAGCAACAGAAAAGUUUGAAGAUAUCUCUGAUUUUAAAGAGGACGAAUCAGCUGAAAAGACCUCUGAUGUGACCGAAGACAUUGAUGCUGUUACAGAGGAGGAAGUAGUUACUGAAACAGCUGAAGAUAUUCCAGAUGUUACAGAGGAGGAAACAUAUGACAUUCCAGAAGUCAUAGAUGAGGAAUUAGCAACUGAAAAGGCUGAUGAUAUCUUUGACUCCGUAGAGGACGAGUCAACUAUGAUAACCUCUGAUGUGACAGAAGACACUGAUUAUACCUCAGAUAUUGUUACAGAGGGAGAAGUUACUAAAUCAGUUGAAGAUAUUGCAGAUGUUACAGAGGAACCAUCUGAUAUGCCAGAAGUCAUCGACAUUGAUGAUACCUCAGAUCACGAUACCUCUGUAGUUAUAGAGGAGAAAGAAUCAACUGAAACAAUUGAAGAAGCAGCAAUUGAAACAGCAGAAGGUACUUCCUAUGUUACAACCAAAACUGAAUUAGACAAUACAGAUGAAAAUGAAUUUCAGAAAUAUCCCAGUGUUACAGAGGAGGAGGAAGAACCUGAAAAAGUUAAAGAUACUUCUGAUUUCUUAGGUGAGGAAGAAGAACCUGAGACAGAUGAAGAUACCAGCACUGAAGAAACAGCCGAAGAGUCACUAGAAAAUGAACAGCCACCUGAAUUGGCUGAAGCUACUCCAGAUACCAUCUGUGUAAAGGAAAAGACUGAAGCAACAGAACUUGAUGAUCUUGAAGUCCUGGGUAAGGAUGACAUGAAAGUGGAAGGCAAGGAGGAGAAGGAAGAUGUGGCAAUUGCUGAUGCUGAAAAGGGCACAAAGAACCUGGAGAAUGAUCUAGAUGAAGAUGAGGUUGAGGUUUUAAAAGAGGAGACUAAAGAUCAAACUAUCUUGGGAACCACUGCUGGUGAAGAUGACCAUGAUGAUGAAGAGGAGCUUGUCCUUUCUCCUGUCCAGCAGGAUCUAACAAACAGAGAUGAUGAAAAUAACAAUAACAAUGACAGGAAGAAAGAUGCCAUAAAAAGAGGCCUGAGCGGGAGAAAAACACCAAAGAGUCAUUCCACUGAAACAGAUGACCAAGAAGCGCACAAGCAUCUUCAUGAAGAUAUGAGGGAGAAGAAGGCUGAUGGUGAAGAGGAAGAGAUAACACUACAACAAAUAAACAUAACAGUAGAAAAAGUCAAGAAAAAAAAAGAACAUGAGAAAAAGGAGAUAGAAAAGGCUAAAAGAAAAGAAAAAUCCAAAGAGGACAAGACUCGAGAACCAACAAACAAGGACACCAAGAAAAAACCUGACAAAAAGGUCAAGGUGACUAAAGUGGAUGAGGAACCUCCUCUAAAAAAGAAGAAAUCUGGACCUGAGAAAAAGGUUAAACCAGCAAAGAAAGGUAUUCAACACAUCCUGUUCAUGGACAAUAUAUUUCAAUGUUGUUGUUGUUUUUUGGAAAUAAAAUUUCCCACAAAGUCCACAAACAUUCCUAAAUUUAAUAUAUCGCACAGAAGCCAAAAUUGUGAAACAAAAUGAUGUAUUUUAUGCAUGUCUAUAACAGCCAGCUCACCGCCAACUAUUGUUUCUAUUGUGUCAUAGAUGUUGAGAUGGCCAAGGACAAAAUCAAAGCAGUACCUGUAAAGAAAGAAGCUGAAGUGGCCAAAAAAGAGAUCAAACCAGCACCAUCUAAGAAAGGUAUUGUGUUGUGUGUUCUUGCUUUACUGAGCACACAUUACUGAGAACACUAUCAGUAGAACAUAAAUACAGAUAGAUACAGAUUAAAUAUAAAAUACAACUAUACAAAUAUACAAAUAAGGUAAAAUGUAAAAAAAUAUAUAAAGCAG